CGGCGAGUGAACAGGCAAGAGCUCAGAUUUGAAAGCCUUUUUGGCAUUGUAUUCUGAAGUCAGUUUCCUGAGUAUCGGUGUUUAAGUCUUCUGGAAAGGAGCGCCAUGGAGGGUGAUAGCCCCGUACGACACCUCACUCAUUGUAGGAUUCUGACGUGGAGUCGAGUUGUUUGGGAAUGCAGCUCAAAAGGGUGGUAUGCUCCAUCUAAAGCUAAAUAUCUGUGAGAGACCGAUAGCGAACAAGUACUGUGAAGGAAAGAUGAAAAGAACUUUGAAAAGAGAGUGAAAAAGUACGUGAAAUUGUUGAAAUGGAAGGAUAUGCCGCUAACAAUGUAGAGCCGUGUUUGGGGGGAAGACAAAAGCUGAAGAAUGUAUCUCUUUUAGGGAAUUAUAACUUCAGUCAAUAUUCCCAUCCGGGCGCGAGGAC
RNAcentral lists this ribosomal RNA (427 nucleotides) under Starmerella etchellsii. Its description in RNAcentral is "eukaryotic LSU rRNA". It matches the Rfam family "Eukaryotic large subunit ribosomal RNA", at positions 87 to 528 of the family's 3401-position model. The record is from RNAcentral. Lineage: Eukaryota; Fungi; Ascomycota; Dipodascomycetes; Dipodascales; Trichomonascaceae.